This 292-nucleotide ribosomal RNA is filed under the name uncultured eukaryote. Its description in RNAcentral is "partial 18S ribosomal RNA". It matches the Rfam family "Eukaryotic small subunit ribosomal RNA", at positions 6 to 268 of the family's 1831-position model. The record is from RNAcentral.
GGUUGAUCCUGCCAGUAGCAUAUGCUUGUCUCAAAGAUUAAGCCAUGCAUGUCCAAGUAUAAACACGUUUAUACAGCGAAACUGCGUACAGCUCAUUAAAUCAGUUAUAAUUUAUUUGAUGGUUUCCUUCUUUGUGGCUUUUGCUGCAAAAAAGACUAUAUGGAUACCCGUAGUAAUUCUAGAGCUAAUACAUGCGUCGAGUUCUGAAAGAGGGUUUACUCUCUGGAGGAAUGUAUUUAUUAGAUACCAACCAAAAAGGACUUUUUUUGGUGAAUCAUAGUAACUGUGCAGA